GCAUUAGGUUUAAAAUCUAAAAAUAAUAUUAAAAUAUUUUAUAUUA
RNAcentral lists this transfer RNA (46 nucleotides) under Malmiana buthi. Its description in RNAcentral is "partial tRNA-Leu". The record is from RNAcentral. Lineage: Eukaryota; Metazoa; Annelida; Clitellata; Hirudinida; Piscicolidae.